Long non-coding RNA from Clupea harengus (Atlantic herring), 3270 nucleotides. The record is from Ensembl. NCBI's taxonomy places the organism in Eukaryota, Metazoa, Chordata, Actinopteri, Clupeiformes, Clupeidae.
UACCCAUUAGUGCUGCUGUAUUUAAAGUGCAAGAUAUGAGAGAGAAUUGUCUUAGGUAUGUAUGAUUCACCAUGAUUUUAAUUAGGAAAUUGCUUUUUGUGUUGAAGCCUUCCCAAAAUUCGUUCUGUUCUUUUAAAAAAAUGUUGCAUGCAGUGUGAAAAGUAUUCCCAGCGGCGAUCACAGUGAUGCCAACCACUUCUGCACACUUGUGACCUUGUGACCUUGCACAUGGCAAUAAAAGAUGAAAGGGGACACACACACGAGGUUUGGCAGAAAAGGCCUGGUCAUUGUUUUCUCCCAUGCAAUUGAUUGGCUGUGUUUACAUGUCCUGUGCAGUUUGAUUGGCUGUGUUAACAUGUCCUGAACACAGAGUGGUGCACCAUUGGUGACGGACAGACACCUAAGUCCUACUCCCAGUGUAUAGAGUAAUCAUGACAGUAACAACAAUCAUGAUGAAACAGAAACGUCAGGCGGUUCGAGUGAGGAAAUAUGGAAGGUAGCGAUGACCUACAGCGCCACCUGGCAGCCGAGAGAGGCAGUGGAGCUUGUGACUGUCUGUUUUGCCGGGCCUUAGCACACAGCUUUUUCCAUGAUACCAUUAGGGGAGGUGAAAGUGGCUCCAAAAAUAUUGUUACUUUGUAAAGUCAUGCUAAAGGUCCCCAAAAAUUGCAUUUUAUUUUUUUUGUUUGAUGGUCGUGAAUCAAUCGGCGGGUCAUGCAGUGGCCAAUGGCAAGGGGAUGGAUACGUUCUUUAUUUGGGGUGCUCAAGCCUCGGGAGUGGGAGCCGAUGGAACGGUUUCCCACAAUACACCAGUCGCACAGAGCUCCACACUUCUCCCUUGCUGCCACCAAACAAAAUGGCCACCAAAUGAGCACAGCAGAAAGGAAUAAAUAAAAAAAUAAAAAAUUAAAAAAACAAUUAAGAGCAUUUAAACAAUGUAUAAUCAUAUUUUCGCAUCAUCAUUAUCUUAUUCAACAUCAUAACCACUACCAUGAUCAACAUCACCAUUGUAAUCACCAUCAUUACCAACAUCAUCGUCUACAGAGCCCUAAUCACCAUUAAUAACAAAUCAAUUCUGAAGAUGGAGAGGUCCUCUCUCUUUACUCCAUGUCCUUUCUCUUGCUCUCUCUCCGUCCAUCUCUUAAUCUGGAAGACUGAAGAAACAUGAAAAAAAAAAAAAAAAAAGAGUCCACAAGUCCAGACACAAGCUUAGAGGUUCUGCUCGGAAGCAUUUCUUUAGUGUGUCUGUUUGCAAUGCCAACAUAACAGAGUCAUAAAGCUCAUAUAUUAUGUGUUCAAUGUAUAUAGAUAUGUACCUGCCAAUACAUGCUAUAACAGCUGUACCAUUGACGAUGGCCUUGCUAUUUUGAUUUAAAAAAAAAAAAAAAACAUUCAACCGAGUCACAAUAUAAAACUAUCCAUGCUAUAUUAAUGUUGGCCUGAUCGACCAGGAAUGUUUUGGACAGGAGUUUUUUUUAAAACCUUUAUUUCACAUUGUUAUAUGACAGUGUUAUGUCAGCAUUUGAAAUGUCAAAGAGAUUGUGUGCUUAUGGGCUAGGUAUCUUUGUGCAAGUGAACAAAUAGUCAAGACUACAAAAAUGAGAGUAGUAAAUAAAAUACUACUACUAUCUUAAAAACAAGAGAAUGUUCUAAAUUAAUUGUGCUAUUUUGGGGGCGACCUUCAUCCAACAAACUCCUCUAUUUUCUUUUGGUAGAUAUUUGGCACAGAAUGAAAACCUUGUCAAUCAUCAGGCCUGUUCCCUGGGCCGCGUCCUGAAUAGAGGGAGUGGUGGCCUCUUUUUUCUUGCAGCGGCUUUAUCAGAGCCUCUGGGCUCACCAUAACACAUAAUAGAUAGCACGAGAGUCUGAGCCGUUCGGUCAGGGAGGAGAGACUGAGAGAAAGGGGGAUGAAUGGAGAGAGAGAACUUCACAGACAAAACAAUAAGACCAAGGAAUAAUCCCCCACCCCCUCAUCCAAUAAAAGAUACUUUUGUUAUUAUUAUAUUAUUAUUAUUAUUCUCAUUGUCAUCGUCAUCAUCAUUAUUAUUAUCAAUAUUAUUCAUCUUCAUUUUUUUUUUUGUAUUGAUCAUGCAGGAGUUCCACAGGAGUUUACGUUAGGAGUUCAAAGGAAGUUGAGCGGUGCAACUGAAGAAUCAAGCUCCGAUGUUUCGAAGAAGUACAAGAAGAAGAAGAAGAAGAAGAAGAGGAAGAAGCCAAGGAGUAGAAGAAGAAAUAGAGAAGAAAAAAAUGUGUUUUUUUUUUCCUCCCCUUUUUUGUUUUAGCGUUUUCUUUUGCUUUUUUGUCUUCUUUUUUUUUUUUGAGAUGAGGGGGAAGAGGUAUUGGGCUAUAUUGGGAGGGUUGACCCCCCACCCCCCACCCCCCUAUGUCCGAUGACCCCAUGCGAGUCACAGGGUGUAGCAACCUCUGUCCCCCCAAAACUCUGCCCCCCAAAACUCUGUCCAUCCCUAAACACAUCCAUGUACACAGGCACCAGGCACGCCCACUGUGAACUCAUUAUUAACAGUAAACAGAGAUGAUAAAACUCAUCAAUAUGGGCCAACAUCACAGUUGGUUUUUGCAAUAGGCUGAGAUCCUGUUCAUUCAAAAGCCAAGAAAGAAAGAAAGAAAGAAAGAAAAAGAACAAAAAGAAAAACAGAAAAAAUUGGUCAGUCUCCUUUUGUUCAGGUGUCUUUUUCCUCUUUUAGUUUGACUAUUUUUUUAAUUAUGUUUUUCUUCUCUUUUUCUUUUCUUUUGUUGUUCUUGUUGUUUUUGUUCCUGUCCACAAACGUCUUUUGACAGUUGACAUGGCGGUCACUGCCACUCGCUCCUCUCAGUGUGCGUGUGUAUGUGUUUGUGUGUUCAGUAUUUUGUCCUCAGUCAGAUGAGCUACGUUUCACAAUGUUUUCAAUGCUAAUUGUUCACUACAUACAUUUCCCAUCCCCUCCCGACACUCCUCCCCACACCCCAAUCCCCCCAUUUUUUUUAUUCCCCGCAUUCUUCCCUCCCUCCCCUUCGCCAGCCAAGCCACCACCUGAACCUGCUCUGGCCCACCCCAAUGGAAAAGAGUAGGCAGCAGGGGAGAAGAAAAGAACCCAAACACAGAGAGAGAGAGAUAGAAAGAGAGAUAGAGAGAGAGAGUCGAAUCAUGCCUUGAUUUCCCCCAGGCUGUCCAGGGCAGAGAGCGAUCCCUCAUGCCUACUCUUGCCACCACUCUGGGGCAGAGAGAACCAAGCUGAGAGAGCCUAUCCAGUUCACCCCUUCCCCCCCCCC